AUCCUUUUUUUUCAAACUUUUGUGCGUGUUUCUUGGUGGUAGAUCACAAACUUUGCAGCCCUCGCACAAGAGUAUAGCCAAUUCAAUGUCGAUGUUGGAUCCUUCGCCCGUGUUGACCUAGAGGAUUACCCAAAGCAAGAUAACCUAUGUGAUUGUGGCUUUUUCGGGCUCAAAUAUGUGGAGAACUUUGAUGGGAAGUCAAUGAAAGAGUUCAAUCAGGAAGACGUGGCGCGAUACCGCAUGGAUGUGGUGCACAACCUUUGCACUCACCCAAUGAACAAUGCCCCAAUGGAGCGGGCAUUCAAUGAAGAGUUGGCGGCUUAAUUUGCGGGAGGGUUCAAGACGAUCAAGCUCGUUUUCUUUCGUUAGGUCUAGAAUCAUGUCUGAGGUGGCAGCGUUCUGAUAGUAUUAGAGUAGUGCACGUUCGUAUGUACCCUA
Molecule: long non-coding RNA, 438 nt
Organism: Triticum aestivum (bread wheat)
Lineage: Eukaryota; Viridiplantae; Streptophyta; Magnoliopsida; Poales; Poaceae
Exons: 3
Source: RefSeq, a predicted model, not a curated record